Molecule: ribosomal RNA, 605 nt
Filed under: Nolanea cf. conferenda DL Largent 11CA014 (CORT)
Lineage: Eukaryota; Fungi; Basidiomycota; Agaricomycetes; Agaricales; Entolomataceae
Description: LSU rRNA
Rfam family: Eukaryotic large subunit ribosomal RNA
Source: RNAcentral
AAACUAACAAGGAUUCCCCUAGUAACUGCGAGUGAAGCGGGAAAAGCUCAAAUUUAAAAUCUGGUAGUCUUUGGCUGCCCGAGUUGUAAUCUAGAGAAGCGUUAUCCGCGCUGGACCGUGUAUAAGUCUCCUGGAAUGGAGCGUCAUAGAGGGUGAGAAUCCCGUCUUUAACACGGACUCCCAGGGCUUUGUGAUGCGCUCUCAAAGAGUCGAGUUGUUUGGGAAUGCAGCUCUAAAUGGGUGGUAAAUUCCAUCUAAAGCUAAAUAUUGGCGAGAGACCGAUAGCGAACAAGUACCGUGAGGGAAAGAUGAAAAGAACUUUGGAAAGAGAGUUAAACAGUACGUGAAAUUGUUGAAAGGGAAACGCUUGAAGUCAGUCGCGUUGAUCAGGGAUCAACCUUGCUUUUGCUUGGUGUACUUCCUGGUUAACGGGUCAGCAUCAAUUUUGACCAGUGGAAAAAGGUCAGGGGAAUGUGGCAUCUUCGGAUGUGUUAUAGCCUCUGGUCAUAUACAUUGGUUGGGAUUGAGGAACUCAGCACGCCGCAAGGCCGGGUUUUACCACGUUCGUGCUUAGGAUGCUGGCAUAAUGGCUUUAAUCGACCCGU